UACGUAGGGGGCGAGCGUUGUCCGGAAUCAUUGGGCGUAAAGAGCGUGUAGGCGGCUUGGCAAGUCUGACGUGAAAGCCCGCGGCUCAACCGCGGAUUGUCGUUGGAAACUGCCUCGCUAGAGUCCGGAAGAGGAGAGCGGAAUUCCUGGUGUAGCGGUGGAAUGCGCAGAUAUCAGGAAGAACACCCGUGGCGAAGGCGGCUCUCUGGGACGGUACUGACGCUGAGACGCGAAAGCGUGGGGAGCGAACAGG
RNAcentral lists this ribosomal RNA (253 nucleotides) under Gaiella sp. RNAcentral describes it as "partial 16S ribosomal RNA". It matches the Rfam family "Bacterial small subunit ribosomal RNA", at positions 524 to 776 of the family's 1533-position model. Lineage: Bacteria; Bacillati; Actinomycetota; Thermoleophilia; Gaiellales; Gaiellaceae. The record is from RNAcentral. RNAcentral also lists the same sequence under 2 other names.